GUGGGGAAUUUUGGACAAUGGGCGCAAGCCUGAUCCAGCAAUGCCGCGUGCAGGAAGAAGGCCUUCGGGUUGUAAACUGCUUUUGUACGGAACGAAACGGUCCUGGCUAAUAUCCGGGGCUAAUGACGGUACCGUAAGAAUAAGCACCGGCUAACUACGUGCCAGCAGCCGCGGUAAUACGUAGGGUGCGAGCGUUAAUCGGAAUUACUGGGCGUAAAGCGGGCGCAGGCGGUGCUGUAAGACAGGCGUGAAAUCCCCGGGCUCAACCUGGGAAUUGCGCUUGUGACUGUAGUGCUGGAGUGCGGCAGAGGGGGAUGGAAUUCCGCGUGUAGCAGUGAAAUGCGUAGAUAUGCGGAGGAACACCGAUGGCGAAGGCAAUCCCCUGGGCCUGCACUGACGCUCAUGCACGAAAGCGUGGGGAGCAAACAGGAUUAGAAACCCGUGUAGUCC
This 450-nucleotide ribosomal RNA is filed under the name uncultured bacterium. RNAcentral's name for it is "partial 16S ribosomal RNA". It matches the Rfam family "Bacterial small subunit ribosomal RNA", at positions 354 to 796 of the family's 1533-position model. The record is from RNAcentral.